Molecule: small RNA, 468 nt
Filed under: Pan troglodytes (chimpanzee)
Lineage: Eukaryota; Metazoa; Chordata; Mammalia; Primates; Hominidae
Description: processed transcript
Source: RNAcentral
GCACGUCCCGCCACCGCCGCCGACCCACCAGCGGCAGAAGGGCAGCAAUGGCCACACACCGAAUCACCUUGGCGGGCUAUUCCCCUUGCAGCUCUCCUCAGCGCGCUGCUCCCACUCGCAAUCAAAAGGCGGAAAAAGCGCGAAACCGCCAGGCAUCUCCCAUACCCACCCGGCUGCCGCGCAACCCCUCCUUGGCUUCCACUGGGAGACAGGGGACGCCGAUGAGCAGGAAGAAGCAGGGCAGUGACUGCUUAGUUUAUCCUGACUGUGUCAGAAGCAGAAUCUGAAGUGGAGCUUCUAGUAUCCCCAGGAGCGCGAAGUGAACACGGAAGGUACCUGCAGGAUCCAAUUGUGUCCGUUGAUCUCUCAGAGUGGCUGAGGAUAAUAGGUGUAUGGCUCUGUGUAUCACAUCAAUCACGGGAACCCCUUCAACAUGGAGGUGCUCGUGGAUUCCUGGCCUGAAUAUCA